This 1020-nucleotide ribosomal RNA is filed under the name Microbacterium arborescens. RNAcentral describes it as "bacterial SSU rRNA". It matches the Rfam family "Bacterial small subunit ribosomal RNA", at positions 56 to 1087 of the family's 1533-position model. Lineage: Bacteria; Bacillati; Actinomycetota; Actinomycetes; Micrococcales; Microbacteriaceae. The record is from RNAcentral.
UGCAGUCGAACGGUGAAGCAGAGCUUGCUCUGUGGAUCAGUGGCGAACGGGUGAGUAACACGUGAGCAAUCUGCCCCUGACUCUGGGAUAAGCGCUGGAAACGGCGUCUAAUACCGGAUACGAGCUGCGACCGCAUGGUCAGUAGCUGGAAAGAAUUUCGGUCAGGGAUGAGCUCGCGGCCUAUCAGCUUGUUGGUGAGGUAAUGGCUCACCAAGGCGUCGACGGGUAGCCGGCCUGAGAGGGUGACCGGCCACACUGGGACUGAGACACGGCCCAGACUCCUACGGGAGGCAGCAGUGGGGAAUAUUGCACAAUGGGCGCAAGCCUGAUGCAGCAACGCCGCGUGAGGGAUGACGGCCUUCGGGUUGUAAACCUCUUUUAGCAGGGAAGAAGCGAAAGUGACGGUACCUGCAGAAAAAGCGCCGGCUAACUACGUGCCAGCAGCCGCGGUAAUACGUAGGGCGCAAGCGUUAUCCGGAAUUAUUGGGCGUAAAGAGCUCGUAGGCGGUCUGUCGCGUCUGCUGUGAAAACCCGAGGCUCAACCUCGGGCCUGCAGUGGGUACGGGCAGACUAGAGUGCGGUAGGGGAGAUUGGAAUUCCUGGUGUAGCGGUGGAAUGCGCAGAUAUCAGGAGGAACACCGAUGGCGAAGGCAGAUCUCUGGGCCGUAACUGACGCUGAGGAGCGAAAGGGUGGGGAGCAAACAGGCUUAGAUACCCUGGUAGUCCACCCCGUAAACGUUGGGAACUAGUUGUGGGGUCCAUUCCACGGAUUCCGUGACGCAGCUAACGCAUUAAGUUCCCCGCCUGGGGAGUACGGCCGCAAGGCUAAAACUCAAAGGAAUUGACGGGGACCCGCACAAGCGGCGGAGCAUGCGGAUUAAUUCGAUGCAACGCGAAGAACCUUACCAAGGCUUGACAUAUAGAAGGAAACGUCUGGGAAACAGUCGCCCCGCAAGGUCUCUAUACAGGUGGGUGCAUGGUUGUCGUCAGCUCGUGUCGUGAGAUGUUGGGGUUAAGUCC